Non-coding RNA from Acanthosepion pharaonis, 114 nucleotides. NCBI's taxonomy places the organism in Eukaryota, Metazoa, Mollusca, Cephalopoda, Sepiida, Sepiidae. The record is from the annotation of a GenBank genome assembly.
AUACGGUCAUAUCCUGUUGAAACACCGGUUCUCGUAUGAUCGCCGAAGUUAAACAAUUUCUAGCCUGGUAAGAAUGUAAAUGGGUGACCAAUUGGGAACAUUAGAUGCUGUAAG